CCAACAUGAAGUUUGUCAUUUCUAUAAUCCAUAGCUCUCAGAUCCCACUUUCCGACACUGAAGAAAUAAUUGAACUUCAUACAAGCAUGUGAAAAUCCUUCUUGGUGGAGCAACCAUAAUGGGUUUUCUUCUUGUUAGUUUUAUUUUAUUUAUAGUUUUUUUAGGUUUUUAUUUCCUAUUUAAACCUAUUUCAUGGUUUUUUAGGUUUUCUUUGAAAAAGUUCUACCUAUAAGAAAGAGUUAUGAAAUCUAACGAGGACGAAGUCAAUAGGGACGGGUGUCGGUUUCAGUGAUAAUGGUGCUAGCUCAAUUUUUGUGUAAAGGGUAUUUCUUUUUAGAAUACGUUAUCUAUUUUAGAGUUUUUUAAUGUUUUGAAUUUUUUCCUCUAUUCUUUCCCCUUUUUUUGUUCCAUUGAAGGUUUGUUUAGAUUUAAGGUUUUUUUUUUAAACUUUCUUUUCGUUUAAACCUUUUUUAUACUUUCUUUUUAAGGUAGUGGGUUCAACCCUUCUCAGUUUCUUCUUCUUCUUCUUCAAUUUUUUCUUUUUUGCUUCCCUCCGCCAUUCCAUUGUGCCUCUCUCAACCCCGCUUAAUCUCAACCUCUGCCACAUUUAAACAACAAAGUUUUUCAUUUCCUUCUGUCAAAGGAAGUAGAAAGUUUCCAACUUUACCAUUUUCAUCCACCAAAAGGUUCCUUGUCAAAGUUGUUGAGUACAAAUUCCCCAACCCAAUUCCGGAAUUCGCAGAUGUCGUGAGUUGUCUCUUCCAUUUUUGGCUUCUCUUCUCUGUAUUUGUUAACUAAUAAAUUAACUUCAUUUUCCAAUUUCUUUCUAUUCUUGUUUGUAUGUUUUUCGGGAGACGGAAAAAUUCAAAAGCCACCUUCUCCAAAAGCUUACAAAGAAGGAUAUAUAUGGAGAAUCCGUUGAGGAAGUUGUAGGAAUUUGAACCGAGGCAUCGCAGGAUAUUAUAGACAACUUAGUUAUUGAACAAGUUGUCUCUCUUAAAAUUGCAAGAGAAAACUACAAAGUUGGCCCUUGAUAAUACAUGUGAAAAAAUGAACGAGUUAUAAAGGAAUGUCGUCACUCUAGAAGAAAAACUCAAAGAAAAAAGUCAUUUAAUAAAUUCCAGAUGUUUUGAUAAGCAAUGACAAGGAGGAUAUUGAUUGUCUGACCAGAACCUGUCAUGAUGACAUUGGCGGUGAAAGGAAAAGGCAUGGUGUAAACAGCAUCAGUAGCUUACUCAUUCAUUUAUAUUUCACUUUCUGUAAUUUCUAAAAUAAAUAGCAUACUCAUUUACUUAUUGGUCCAAUAGCAUCAUAACUAUAAAUAUAAAAAAUAUAUUAUUUCUUCUAAAUUUUGAGAUACAGCAAAGAAAGUUUUGUUCUUUACUCGAUCAAGAGAACAUAAAAUUAGAAUUUUUGUGGUGAUAUUUUCUGAUUUGAUUUCAGGAGUUUGAGAUCAAACUAAAUGUAAGAGUUUACGUUUGUGUGUAACA
Long non-coding RNA from Vigna unguiculata (cowpea), 1490 nucleotides. RefSeq lists it as uncharacterized. Lineage: Eukaryota; Viridiplantae; Streptophyta; Magnoliopsida; Fabales; Fabaceae. The record is from RefSeq and is a predicted model, not a curated record.